RNAcentral lists this ribosomal RNA (506 nucleotides) under uncultured bacterium. RNAcentral's name for it is "partial 16S ribosomal RNA". It matches the Rfam family "Bacterial small subunit ribosomal RNA", at positions 28 to 523 of the family's 1533-position model. The record is from RNAcentral.
GAUGAACGCUAGCUACAGGCUUAACACAUGCAAGUCGAGGGGUAACGAGAGGGAAGCUUGCUUUCCUUGUCGACGACCGGCGCACGGGUGAGUAACGCGUAUCCAACCUGCCCCCAACUAGGGAAUAACCUUGCGAAAGUAAGACUAAUACCCUAAAAUUUCCUCAGAUGUCAUCUGACGAGGAAUAAAGAUUUAUCGGUUGUGGAUGGGGAUGCGUCUGAUUAGCUUGUUGGCGGGGUAACGGCCCACCAAGGCAACGAUCAGUAGGGGUUCUGAGAGGAAGGUCCCCCACAUUGGAACUGAGACACGGUCCAAACUCCUACGGGAGGCAGCAGUGAGGAAUAUUGGUCAAUGGGCGGAAGCCUGAACCAGCCAAGUAGCGUGCAGGAUGACGGCCCUAUGGGUUGUAAACUGCUUUUAUACAGGAAUAAAGUUAGCCACGUGUGGUUAUUUGUAGGUACUGCAUGAAUAAGGACCGGCUAAUUCCGUGCCAGCCGCCGCAGUAA